AGCUAGUUGGUGGGGUAACGGCCCACCAAGGCUAAGACGGGUAGCCGGCCUGAGAGGGUGGUCGGCCACACGGGCACUGAGACACGGGCCCGACUCCUACGGGAGGCAGCAGGGGGGAAUCUUGGGCAAUGGGCGCAAGCCUGACCCAGCGACGCCGCGUGGGGGAAGAAGGCCUUCGGGUCGUAAACCCCUGUUCUGGGGGAAGAACCCUGACUGGGUUAAGAGCCUAGUCAGGCUGACGGUACCCCAGGAGAAAGCCACGGCUAACUGCGUGCCAGCAGCCGCGGUAAUACGCAGGUGGCGAGCGUUGCCCGGAAUCACUGGGCGUAAAGGGUGCGUAGGCGGCUGGGUAAGUCGCAGGUUAAAGCCCGGGGCUUAACCUCGGAAAGGCCUGCGAUACUGCCUGGCUUGAGGGCCGGAGAGGCUGGCGGAAUUCCCGGUGUAGGGGUGAAAUCCGUAGAUAUCGGGAGGAACACCGGUGGGGAAGCCGGCCAGCUGGACGGUCCCUGACGCUGAGGCACGAAAGCGUGGGGAGCAAACCGGAUUAGAUACCCGGGUAGUCCACGCCGUAAACGAUGGGUGCUAGGUCUGGGGAGGUAAACUCUCUGGGCCGAAGCUAACGCGUUAAGCACCCCGCCUGGGGAGUACGGCCGCAAGGCUGAAACUCAAAGGAAUUGACGGGGGCCCGCACAAGCGGUGGAGCACGUGGUUUAAUUCGAUGCAAAGCGAAGAACCUUACCUGGGCUUGACAUGCCAGGGUUGUACCCCGGUGGAAACACUGGGGGAGCGUAGGGGUUUACUCUACGCGCUCUGGCACAGGUGCUGCAUGGCUGUCGUCAGCUCGUGUCGUGAGAUGUUGGGUUAAGUCCCGCAACGAGCGCAACCCCUGCCCCUAGUUGCCAGCGGGUAAUGCCGGGCACUCUAGGGGGACUGCCGGGGAUAACCCGGAGGAAGGAGGGGAUGACGUCAAGUCCUCAUGGCCCUUAUGCCCAGGGCUACACACGUGCUACAAUGGGGGGUACAGAGGGAUGCGAACCCGCAAGGGGGAGCUAAUCCCAGAAAGCCCUCCUCAGUUCGGAUCGGGGUCUGCAACUCGACCCCGUGAAGCCGGAAUCGCUAGUAAUGGCGGAUCAGCAUGCCGCCGUGAAUACGUUCCCGGGCCUUGCACACACCGCCCGA
This 1179-nucleotide ribosomal RNA is filed under the name Thermodesulfobacterium geofontis OPF15. Its description in RNAcentral is "16S ribosomal RNA". It matches the Rfam family "Bacterial small subunit ribosomal RNA", at positions 243 to 1397 of the family's 1533-position model. Lineage: Bacteria; Pseudomonadati; Thermodesulfobacteriota; Thermodesulfobacteria; Thermodesulfobacteriales; Thermodesulfobacteriaceae. The record is from RNAcentral.